Drosophila ficusphila is the source of this 177-nucleotide long non-coding RNA. RefSeq lists it as uncharacterized. The record is from RefSeq and is a predicted model, not a curated record. The transcript is spliced from 2 exons. Lineage: Eukaryota; Metazoa; Arthropoda; Insecta; Diptera; Drosophilidae.
UAAUAUUGGUAUAACCUUGCUUGCUUUUCCGAGACGCAAACAAAUGGAUUGCCCUUCGGUCCGACGAGAUUCCUCGGCAGUCAAUUAAAUGGCUUUUCAAAGGCAGCAAAAUCCUCGGCCAGACAAAAUAUCUGUGGCAUUGUGGGUGUGGAAUGCUCUGCCAAAAUUCUAAUCGAA